CCCUUAGAUGUUCUGGGCCGCACACGCGCUACACUGAAGGAGGCAGCGUGUACUCCUGGAUCGAAAGAUUUGGGUAACCCGCGAAUCUCCUUCGUGCUAGGGAUUGAGGUUUGCAAUUAUCCUUCAUGAACGAGGAAUUCCCAGUAAGUGCAAGUCAUAAGCUUGCGCUGACUACGUCCCUGCCCUUUGUACACACCGCCCGUCGCUACUACCGAUUGAAUGAUUUAGUGAGGACUUCGGACUGGGACCGAUGCGGCUUUCGGGCUGCGUCUGUAUUCUGGAAAGAUGUCCAAACUGUAUCAUUUAGAGGAAGUAAAAGUCGUAACA
RNAcentral lists this ribosomal RNA (327 nucleotides) under uncultured eukaryote. Its description in RNAcentral is "partial 18S ribosomal RNA". It matches the Rfam family "Eukaryotic small subunit ribosomal RNA", at positions 1470 to 1796 of the family's 1831-position model. The record is from RNAcentral.